RNAcentral lists this long non-coding RNA (1886 nucleotides) under Schizosaccharomyces pombe (fission yeast). Lineage: Eukaryota; Fungi; Ascomycota; Schizosaccharomycetes; Schizosaccharomycetales; Schizosaccharomycetaceae. The record is from RNAcentral.
UAUGAUUUUCAUGGUGAUGAUGACAGUGAUGAUCAUUGUCUAAAUUCUGGAGACUUAUGCUUUCAUGGUCGCAUUUUUCAUUGUAUUUAUGGAUGUGAUCAUGAUUGUGGUUAUGCUCAUGGUGAUGUUCCUGACUAUUCUCAUGGGUAUGUUCAUGUUGGGAUACGUGAUCGUCAUUCGUAUAGCCCAUUUUCUGGGCUUCAACAUUAUCUUUUUCUUCUUCAAACUCUUCAAAAAUAUUUAUAUCAUUUGUAGUGUUAGGCAGACACAUACUAUGAUUACUAUGGGAAUGAUGGUGAUGAGACCCAUGAUCAUGAUUAUGCCCAUGAUUGAACGCUAGGAUACCUACCAAAUUCACAACAAGGCCCAAAAAACUAACCAACAACAAUUGGUCGGUAUUCAUUUGGGGCGGAUGAAAUAACCUAUAUAAUGCCUCGCCGACGAUAGAAAAUGAAAUCAAAACUAAAAAAAUACCAUUAGUGAAACCCGAAAGAGCCUCAAUUUUUGCAAAUCCAAAGGGGUAAGCAUAAUUUAGAGGCAUCUUGGCAAGCGUCGUAGCAACUAAACCGACAAGAAUAGCAAUACAGUCAAAAGCCAUGUGAAUUGCGUCUGAAAUAAGCCCCAAAGAAUUUGUCCAAAGACCAUAAAUAACUUGCACAAACAUAUAAGAAACAUUUAAAAGGAAGAAAUAAAAUAUGCUUCUUGACUCUUUAUCGGCAAGCACUCCAUUCACUAUGAAAUCAUUGUAAAGUCGGUAAAUACGGCUGUUGUCAGGAAGCUUCAAGUUUGCUGUUAUAGAAGAACCAAUUUUAAAGAAGCAAAAUCCUACUUGAUAGAGGCAUGAUAUGAUCUUGAUAGAAUUUUGAGAAGCUGUCUUGUUAAUAAUGGCAGAAAUUAGGGCCAUAAUUAAAGAAAUAUCGAAUUUUCCCAAGUAAAAUUGAAUUCUGGCAAUUCCAUCCCAAUUGAUGCAAAAAAUUUGCAUAAAACAAAGAAUGGUAAAACGAGUGACUGAUAGAUUGAUUGUUCCAAGCGGAAGGACAUUAAAUUGAAUGAGACAAGCCACAACGAUAGAAGAAAAAAGGAAUGCCAAUUCCUUCUUUUCAAACUUCUCUUUGUUCACAAGGUAAAAGACUCGAAUGAAGACACCAAGAAGUAUAUAAAAAACGCUGGCAUAAAAAACGGAAUAAGAACAUUGGAAAUAACCCAACAGUAUUAGGAUAUGAUUAAUGACAAAAAGACAUAUUGGAAAUGCUAUAUAGUUCUUCAAAUUAGCAGAUCUGGCAUUAAAUGGUGUAGGAUCGUUACGAAUAAAAAAUAAUUUGAAAGCUAGCAAUAACAAACAAGUCGUGUCUAGAGUUCCAAGUACAAAGGCACCUAAAGUUAUGAAUACCAUCGAUAAAGAAGCGAUUAUUACAUUUAAUAACUGAAAAGGUUGGAACGAAAAUGAAUAGAUGCCCAAAUAUUGAGUAGUAAAGCUGACAAAAGCAAAGAUGCCAAAAAUAAGGUAAAAUGGAAUCGACAUGGUAUUGACUUCAAGACCAGAACCAGUAAUGGAGAAUGCACAAAUUACAGAAAACCAUCCUAGUGUUUCAGAUGAUAGCAAAGAUUUACUCGAAAUGAGCGAUAACAAAUCUUUUUUUUUAGCUGCAGCAAUUGAAUCAGAACUUGUCUUUUGGUCGUCUUUUAAAACAGGAAAAGAAGGGAACCUAUUGGUUCUCUCGAACGCAGAAGAAUUAACAUUCAUUUUUGUCGUCAGGAACACCCAAAAGCUGUGGUUGACUAUUAAAAAAUUGAAUGAUUAACAAAACUUAACUAAAGAAUAAAGAAAACAAAAUAAAGAGUAAUCCUGUUUUGAAAUUUAAAUCCUGAGUUGGAUGUGAAAGUGC